Molecule: ribosomal RNA, 433 nt
Filed under: uncultured bacterium
Lineage: Bacteria
Description: partial 16S ribosomal RNA
Rfam family: Bacterial small subunit ribosomal RNA
Source: RNAcentral
AAUGAACGCUGGCGGCAUGCCUAAUACAUGCAAGUCGAACGAGACCAUCGGGACCUGUGGCGUCCGGGUGUGUCACGCGUGGGAACCUGCACAUAGGUUUGGAAUACCUCUCCGACAGGGGUGCCAUCACCGGACAAUGUCUUCGGCCCAAAGAUUUAUUGCACUUGGAUGGGCCGUCGUUGGAUUAGCUAGUUCGUACGGUAAUAGCCUACUAAGGCGAGGAUCGAUAGCUUGUCUGUGAGGAUGAUCAGCGACACUGGGAGUGGGACGCGGCCCGGACUCCUACGGAAGGCGGCAAAGGGUGAUAUAGGACAGUGGGCGGAGGGCUGAAGCAGCUAGGCCGGGUAAGUGAUGAAGGCCGUAAAGUUGUAAAGCUCUUUUACCCAGGAUGGUAAUGACGGUACCGGAAGAAUAAGCUCCGGCUAACUCCGUG